Molecule: ribosomal RNA, 434 nt
Filed under: uncultured Lachnospiraceae bacterium
Lineage: Bacteria; Bacillati; Bacillota; Clostridia; Lachnospirales; Lachnospiraceae
Description: partial 16S ribosomal RNA
Rfam family: Bacterial small subunit ribosomal RNA
Source: RNAcentral
ACGGAAGGCAGCAGUGGGGAAUAUUGCACAAUGGGCGAAAGCCUGAUGCGGCGACGCCGCGUGAGUGAAGAAGUAUCUCGGUAUGUAAAGCUCUAUCAGCAGGGAAGAAAAUGACGGUACCUGACUAAGAAGCCCCGGCUAACUACGUGCCAGCAGCCGCGGUAAUACGUAGGGGGCAAGCGUUAUCCGGAUUUACUGGGUGUAAAGGGAGCGUAGACGGUUUGGCAAGUCUGAAGUGAAAUGCGGGGGCUCAACUCCUGAACUGCUUUGGAAACUGUCGAACUAGAGUGCAGGAGAGGUAAGUGGAAUUCCUAGUGUAGCGGUGAAAUGCGUAGAUAUUAGGAGGAACACCAGUGGCGAAGGCGGCUUACUGGACUGUAACUGACGUUGAGGCUCGAAAGCGUGGGGAGCAAACAGGAUUAGAUACCCUGGUA